UUUAAUUGAGAUCGGCUUAUUGGGUCAUAGUGGGCUCGGAAGGCACCGGGAGGUGGACGCUGCUCUGUGAAACCAGCCUCACGCAGUCUCCUCUGCUCUAAGAAAUGGUUUAAUUGAGAUCGGCUUAUUGGGUCAUAGUGGGCUCGGAAGGCACCGGGAGGUGGACGCUGCUCUGUGAAACCAGCCUCACGCAGUCUCCUCUGCUCUAAGAAAUGGUUUAAUUGAGAUCGACUUAUUGGGUCAUAGUGGGCUCGGAAGGCACCGGCCCGUUAUCCUAAGGAUACUCUACCAAAAGCGGGAGGUGGCGGGAGGUGGACGCUGCUCUGUGAAACCAGCCUCACGCAGUCUCCUCUGCUCUAAGAAAUGGUUUAAUUGAGAUCGGCUUAUUGGGUCAUAGUGGGCUCGGAAGGCACCGGGAGGUGGACGCUGCUCUGUGAAACUAGACUCACGCAGUCUCCUCCGCUCUAUGAAAUGGUUUAAUUGAGAUCGGCUUAUUGGGUCAUAGUGGGCUCGGAAGGCACCGGCCCGUUAUCCUAAGGAUACUACCAAGAGCGGGAGGUGGACGCUGCUCUGUGAAACCAGCCUCACGCAGUCUCCUCCGCUCUAAGAAAGUCUGAACCACAAGCCUUCGCUUAGGUCCGAACCUUCAACUCUCAGCUUGGAAUGGGCAGGCGAGUAGAAAGCCCAAAUCGAACCCGGCCCAAUGAAAUCGGUCCAACAUUCCAACACCUUGUAGUCUCCACUUGGAUCACAAGCCCGCGUUACUGAACUCGACGCACAGUAGUUGUCAACUAAACUUAUAUAUACAACAAGAGAAAAAUCAUUUCUUC
This 830-nucleotide long non-coding RNA is filed under the name Eutrema salsugineum. Its description in RNAcentral is "long non-coding RNA (ESAL_LNC000307)". Lineage: Eukaryota; Viridiplantae; Streptophyta; Magnoliopsida; Brassicales; Brassicaceae. The record is from RNAcentral.